This 253-nucleotide ribosomal RNA is filed under the name uncultured bacterium. Its description in RNAcentral is "partial 16S ribosomal RNA". It matches the Rfam family "Bacterial small subunit ribosomal RNA", at positions 524 to 776 of the family's 1533-position model. The record is from RNAcentral.
UACAGAGGUGGCAAGCGUUGUUCGGAAUUACUGGGCGUAAAGGGCGCGUAGGCGGUCCGAUAAGUCCCGUGUGAAAUCCCUCGGCUCAACUGAGGAACUGCACGGGAAACUGACGGGCUUGAGUUCGGGAGAGGGAAGCGGAAUUCCGGGUGUAGCGGUGAAACGCGUAGAUAUCCGGAGGAACACCGGUGGCGAAGGCGGCUUCCUGGACCGACACUGACGCUGAGGCGCGAAAGCUAGGGGAGCAAACGGG